CCAGCGGAGGAAGCCUUCCAGUCACGUGAUUCUAAGGCAAGGGCGGGAUUCAUUUGAGCGACUUCGCUUUAUAUGCGAACCUGCGAGCGAGGCGAGGAAGUGAGGCUCUCGACUCGGCUGGGAGGAAACCAGGAUUCUUAGCGAAGCUGUCACGGAGAGGGGCAGGUAAAUUGCGGUUAAUUCACAUGUCAUCCGAAAGUGUGAUAGUUACCGUUCGUCUUGUUCGCUCUUUUGAGCAUCGUAAUUUCAGACCAGUUGUGUACCAUAAUGUUAACCUGGACCAGACUGUAAAAGAAUUUAUUACAUUUGUGAAGAAGGAUAUCACAUCAAGGACAGAACUUUUGCCGCCUUUCAGAAAAUAUACCUAUG
Molecule: long non-coding RNA, 369 nt
Organism: Protobothrops mucrosquamatus (brown spotted pit viper)
Lineage: Eukaryota; Metazoa; Chordata; Lepidosauria; Squamata; Viperidae
Exons: 3
Source: RefSeq, a predicted model, not a curated record